UCUCAUUCAGCAAUGUUGCAAUGUUAGGAGCGCAGUGCCAAGGACAGCUUUCUAAACACAGCUGCUACCCACAGCAGGGACACCUCAGUGGGAGAGAAACCUCAGCAGGCUGUGAGGAGGGAACUGCCAAGGAGCUCCAGGGAAGGACCAGACAGGUCAGCAGGGAUCAGGCUGAAAGAGUUGCUGGACCCCAAUUGGCUACAGCACUAUCAGUUCUUCUCAAGUUACCAUGACAACCACUGACAUCAAGCUCAUGCCACUCACUAUGGACACACUGAAUACAGAGAUUGUCUCCUGGGAUUUUUUAUUUCAGUAAGGAUACUCAUGCAUCGAAUUAUAAUUAGAUGUAUCUGCAACAUGUCAAGUCAAAACUGCUCUGGAAUCCUGCAUUUAAACAACAAGAAAGGAGAUGUUGGAACACGGUCCAGGAAUGAAGCCAUGUGAGGAGAAUUCUGACUGCUUAUGAGGAAACUCCAAGAAAACAAGACAAGGGUCUUGUGACCUUAGUUUCUUCAAAACAUAGAAUUGUUCUUGGAAUGUGGUUUUUGUGCUCCUCUCAGGUGUCGUGGAUAGGAGUGAGUUUACUUCAGAUUAAUCGUUAUUGCUUGCUGCGGUUACUUCAUUAAAUGUUUAUACUAUCCUUUAUAUGUUUCUAUGGGAAAACAUGUUUUUGCCAUGUGUGGCCUCUCCUUAUGAUUGUAUACAGCUUGCACUUAUGAGAACUUUAACUUCCAGAGUAUAAAUUGUCUGAUGUUCUGAAUAAAGUUGGCUGUUAUUUGA
Long non-coding RNA from Mesocricetus auratus (golden hamster), 780 nucleotides. RefSeq lists it as uncharacterized. The transcript is spliced from 3 exons. The record is from RefSeq and is a predicted model, not a curated record. NCBI's taxonomy places the organism in Eukaryota, Metazoa, Chordata, Mammalia, Rodentia, Cricetidae.